AAUGGUUUGAGGAACAUGACAAAGAGCUCAAGGUGUUGCCUUGGCAUCGACAUUCCUCCUGAUUGAGCAUCUGUGGGAUGUGUUGGAACAACAAACCAAAUCCAUGGAAGCCCCACCUUGCAACUUGAAGGGCUUAAAAGUACCUGCUGGUAAUAUCUUGGUGCCAGAUACCACAGGACACAUUCACAGGUCUUGUGGAGUCCAUACCUCGACGGAUCAGAGCUGUUUUGGCAGCACAAG
Molecule: non-coding RNA, 240 nt
Organism: Pelobates cultripes (western spadefoot toad)
Lineage: Eukaryota; Metazoa; Chordata; Amphibia; Anura; Pelobatidae
Source: the annotation of a GenBank genome assembly